This 499-nucleotide ribosomal RNA is filed under the name uncultured bacterium. RNAcentral's name for it is "partial 16S ribosomal RNA". It matches the Rfam family "Bacterial small subunit ribosomal RNA", at positions 28 to 507 of the family's 1533-position model. The record is from RNAcentral.
GACGAACGCUGGCGGCGUGCCUAAUACAUGCAAGUCGAGCGGACUUUCAAGAAGCUUGCUUUUUGAAAGUUAGCGGCGGACGGGUGAGUAACACGUGGGCAACCUGCCUGCAAGACGGGGAUAACUCCGGGAAACCGGGGCUAAUACCGGAUAAUAUCUUCCUUCGCAUGAAGGAAGGUUGAGAGGCGGCGCAAGCUGCCGCUUGCAGAUGGGCCCGCGGCGCAUUAGCUAGUUGGUGAGGUAACGGCUCACCAAGGCGACGAUGCGUAGCCGACCUGAGAGGGUGAUCGGCCAAACUGGGACUGAGACACGGCCCAGACUCCUACGGGAGGCAGCAGUAGGGAAUCUUCCGCAAUGGACGAAAGUCUGACGGAGCAACGCCGCGUGAGCGAAGAAGGUCUUCGGAUCGUAAAGCUCUGUUGUCAGGGAAGAACAAGUACCGUUCGAACAGGGCGGUACCUUGACGGUACCUGACCAGAAAGCCACGGCUAACUACGUG